This 260-nucleotide ribosomal RNA is filed under the name uncultured eukaryote. RNAcentral describes it as "partial 18S ribosomal RNA". It matches the Rfam family "Eukaryotic small subunit ribosomal RNA", at positions 619 to 892 of the family's 1831-position model. The record is from RNAcentral.
UUAAAAAGCUCGUAGUUGGAUUUCUGGUAGGAUGACUGUGCCCUCAGUAGAGUGUGCGCUGGCGUCUUGCCAUCCUUCUGUUAACCUUUGGGAGCUUCACCGCUCCCUUUGGGGCUCAGAUAUUUUACCUUGAGAAAAUUAGAGUGUUUCAGGCAGGCUAGCGCCGGAAUACAUUAGCAUGGAAUAAUGGAAUAGGACUUUUGCCUCUUCUGUUGGUCAUGGGGUUCGAGUAAUGAUUAAUAGGGAUAGUUGGGGGCAUU